This 422-nucleotide ribosomal RNA is filed under the name uncultured bacterium. RNAcentral describes it as "bacterial SSU rRNA". It matches the Rfam family "Bacterial small subunit ribosomal RNA", at positions 355 to 774 of the family's 1533-position model. The record is from RNAcentral.
UGAGGAAUAUUGGACAAUGGGCGCGAGCCUGAUCCAGCCAUGCCGCGUGCAGGAAGAAGCAUCUAUGGUGUGUAAACUGCUUUUGUACGGGAAGAAACACUCCUUCGUGAAGGAGCUUGACGGUACCGUAAGAAUAAGGAUCGGCUAACUCCGUGCCAGCAGCCGCGGUAAUACGGAGGAUCCAAGCGUUAUCCGGAAUCAUUGGGUUUAAAGGGUCCGUAGGCGGUUUAGUAAGUCAGUGGUGAAAGCCCAUCGCUCAACGAUGGAACGGCCAUUGAUACUGCUAGACUUGAAUUACAAGGAAGUAACUAGAAUAUGUAGUGUAGCGGUGAAAUGCUUAGAUAUUACAUGGAAUACCAAUUGCGAAGGCGGGUUACUACUUGUGGAUUGACGCUGAUGGACGAAAGCGUGGGGAGCGAACA